Molecule: long non-coding RNA, 7729 nt
Organism: Piliocolobus tephrosceles (Ugandan red Colobus)
Lineage: Eukaryota; Metazoa; Chordata; Mammalia; Primates; Cercopithecidae
Source: Ensembl
UAGCCAAAACGACAGAAAAUGAACUAAUUAAAACGACAGAAAAUGAACUAGCCAAAACAACAAAAAAUGAACUAGCCAAAACAACAAAAAAUGAACUAGCCAAAAAUGUGGAAAAUACUAACACGAAAACAAUAUGUUCUAAUAAUACACUAUAUAAUAAUAACAAUAAUAAUAUGUAUUGUAGUACUAAUUUUAUAACAACUGCAAGAAAAAAUAGUAUGAGUGAGGUACCAAAUACUGACGAUUAUGGAUAUAAAAAAAAUAUAAAUAACCAUGAGUCCUGUCCGAAUGAUGAUAAUUAUGUACAAACAGAAAAUACUACUAUUAUUGACAUAUCUAAUAAUGAAAGAGAACAAACAAAGUGUAAUACUGUAUCAAACGGAUAUUUGUCAAAGAAUAAUAUUUCUUUAGAUAUCAGUAGUGCUAUUAUAAAGGGUGGGUCACAGAACAGUUUCGAACAUCUGAAGGAUAUGGAAAAUAAUAAUAGUAAUAUCAGAAAGAGCAGGACUAAUAGCAGUAGUUGUGAGAAGGGAACCAAAAAAGAAUCUAGUUACGGUCCCAUUACAAAAAAAAAAAGAGGUAGAAACAAAAAAAUCCUUGAUGAUGAUUAUGAUACGGAAUUAAAAAAAAUGAAAAAAAAAAAAAAGAAUUUAAAAUGAUGAUUGAAAAUAAUAAAGCUGAAUUUACGACAAUAAAUGAAAAUGAUAACUUGUACAAAACAGUUUUAUUUGUUGAAAAAAAAAAUAAAAAAUUAUUACAAUUGAGAAAAUCAUAUCGAAGAAAAAGGAAAUUACAACUAUUAAUGAAUCUAGAAAAUAAAAAUAUAACUAAUUAUAAAAACACUUUAGAUGUAUCAUUAUUAAGCAAUAACAAAAUAAACACGGAUGAAAAAAAUAUAAAUCAAAACAAUAAUUGUAUGAAUCAAGAUGAAACAGUAACAUAUAAGCACGAUAUAGCCAAAAAUGAUUUUGUAAAAAAAAAAGAAAACAGUAAUACGAUAAAUGCUGUAAGCGAUGGACAUGCACCGGUGAAUACAAAUAACAAUUAUAAUAAUAAUAAUAACAAUAAUAAUAACAAUAAUAAUAAUGACAAUAAUAAUGACAAUAAUAAUGACAAUAAUAAUGACAAUAAUAAUGACAAUAAUAAUGACAAUAAUAAUGACAAUAAUAAUGACAAUAAUAAUAACAAUAAUAAUAAUAAUAAUAAUAAUAAUAACAAUAAUAAUAACAAUAAUAAUAAUAUUGCAGUGGGUGGUAGUAUUUUAAAUGAUAAGAUUUUAUUAACAGAUUAUGACAUUUUUUUAUCAAAUAGUAACAACCACUUGUCAACUCGUAGCAGUAUACUAUCAAAUAACAACACAACACAUUUUAUUUCACAAAAUAAAGAAAAAACAAACAAUAAUAAUGAAUUAAUUAGUGCGGUAAGUAAUGUGAAAGAUACAGAUGAGGUAAAUAACAUGAAUAAUGCUAAAAAUAAAGUGUGUUAUGAAAAAAAAAAUAAUUCUUUAAACAAUGAAAAUAAUCGUAGUAUAACAGAAGAGAUGGAUGUAACAUACACACCAUUUGGAAAAACUGGAACGAAUGUUUUUACUGAUGUAGUAUCGACAAAAGUUGUAGAAAAAGAAUCUGAAACUGUGAAGGUAAAUGAGCUGUUUUGCAUAUCAAACGAAAACGUUGAUACGGAUAUUAGAGAUACAUCAAAUGAUUUGGUCUGUGUUAAUAACAAUAAAAUAAUGUUAAUUAAUGAUGAAAAAUAUAAUUUAGAGAUGCAGGAAAAAAAUAAUAUCGCAUGUUUGAAUGAUUUAACUAGCUACAAAGAAAGUAUUAAAAAAAAUAAUUGUUCGAAUGAUAUAUUCACAUAUGUUCCUAUAAUGAAUAAUAGUAAAACACAAAAAAAAAAAAUGAAUACGAAAGAUUCAAAUAAGUUUACUUCUUAUAAUAAUAAUGAAAUAAAUGUACCUUUGUUGGUGGAUAAAGAAUCAAGAAGUAAUAUAUUAAAUUCAAAUUAUUGUGUUUUAAAUAAAAAUAUAAAAGAAGAAGAUAAGAAUAAUGAUAAGAAAGAAAAAGAAAAAAGUAAAGUGACAAGAAGAUUAAGAGAACGAAAAAAAAAAUUUAGACAAGAUGAUAUAUAUAUAUAUGAUAUUGGUACUAUCGUAGGAGGUAAUAAAAACGGAAAUUGUGACAAUAUGGCUUCUGGUACAGUUAUCGAUAUAGUUGACAAUGUAACCGAAGGUUUAUUAAAUUGUUUACCUGAUGGUGCAUCUAAUUGCUCGCCUGGUGGUGCAUCUAAUUGCUCGCCUGGUGAUGCAUCUAAUUGUUUACCUGAUGGUGCAUCUAAUUGUUUACCUGAUGGUGCAUCUAAUUGCUCGCCUGGUAGUGCAUCUAAUUGCUCGCCUGGUGGUGCAUCUAAUUGUUUACCUGAUGGUGCAUCUAAUUGUUUACCUGAUGGUGCAUCUAAUUGUUUACCUGAUGGUGCAUCUAAUUGUUUACCUGAUGACACAGUCGAUGGUGAAAAAAAAAAGAAAACAAAUAAACGUAAAACUAAAACCAAUAAUGCUUUAAAAAACGCACAUAUAAAUAAUAAUUUAAUUGUGGAUAUAUCAAGUAUAGACAAUAGCCAAACAAAUAACGAACUGGUGGUAACAGAUGGUAAUAGUAGUAGUAGUAGUAAUAGCAGUAGUAGUAAUAGUAGUAGUAGUAGUAGUACUAACAAUAAUAUGGACGAAAAUAAAAACACAAUGGUUAAGCAAGAAACAACAUAUGAAGAUAUGGUUCUUCAGAAUAAGGCAAAAUCUAGUAUAAAUAAUAAAAAUAAUAAGGAAUUCAUUGAAUAUAUUGAGAGUAAUUUUAUAAAACCUGAAAAAGAAGUUGACACACAAAAUGAUAUGGUGGAAAAUUCUGUUGGUAAUAUUAAAUGUAAGAAUGCAAAUAAAAACAUAAAUAAAACUGAAAGAAGUAUAAGAACAGAAAAUAAAAAAAAAAAAAAAGAUAACAUAACAAAAAAUAUUAAAAAAGAGAUCAAUGCCAAUUUAAAUAAAAUACCAAAAAUUAAAAAGGAAUCUAAUACUAAUAAGAAGUCUCGUAUGAAAGUUUGUUUAGAAGAUUAUUACAAAAAAAAUAAAGAAAUAUAUAUGCAUAUAGAUACAUUAAAUACUAUUAAUGAUAUAGAGUUACCAUCUAUUGAAGAUGACUCAUUUCUUGAUACCUUUGAAAUGUUUUUAAAAAAUAAAAAUAAUAAGGAUUUUGUUUGUCGAAACUGUAGUUAUCCGUAUAAAAUACAAGUGAGUACAAAAUUUGGGUUAAUAGAAAUGAUAAUGAAUAGAAACGGGAGUAGUGGUUAUACCAAUAUGAAAGAUAAAAUAGAAAUAGAAAAAACAAAUAACACAGUGAAUGUUAUUACUAAUGAAAACAUGGAAAUUCGAAAUUAUAAAAAUAAAGUGAGCGGAAUUUGUACAACAGAUUGUAACAAAUCAGAUGGUAAUAUCACUUUUGCUGCAUCUACCUUUUCAGAUAUUACUUUUUCCGAUACUAUUUUUUCCGAUACUAUAUUUUCCGAUACUAUUUUUUCCGAUACUAUCUUUUCCGAUACUACAUGUACCAACAGUAACACCAUUAGAAAUGAAAAAAAAAAACUACUAGAGUUAAACAUGGAUAUAUAUGACCAAGCAGAAAAUGAUAAAUAUAUUAACUUCGAUUUCUAUCAAAAAUUAGUAAAUGAAAAUAUACCCAUUGAAAAUUAUUGUAAAAUAACAUUUUAUUGUUUAUGUGGAUAUUCUAAAUAUACAAAGGAACAAAAUGAAUGGAAACAACUUGUAAAAUGUUAUUAUGACGAAGAAGAUGAUAGUCAACACAAAUCUCCCUACAUUUUUUGUACAAAAUGUAAAGAAAUAUUAAUGACUAGUAGAUUUUUAGAUAGAAAUAAAAGUACAAUAAUAAUGAUAUGUGAAUGUGGUAAUAGAAACUAUGAUAGAAAAAAAUGUUAUUGGACAAGAAAAGGUAACAUCAAACAAAGAAAAGCACCUCAAAUUUUAUGUGAAGAAUGUCAGUCAAAAAUGUGGGUACAUACAUGGUUAGAUGAUGUAGGAUCAAAAGUAAAAUUAUUAUGUAAAUGUGGUUUUAAAAAUUUUUUAAAAAAAGAUGAUAUAUGGGUACGAAGUCCAAGAUGGAAAAAACCAGUACCUUUAAUAAUUUGUAAUUCAUGUCAACAAAAAAUGUAUAUGAGUCAAUGGUUAAACUCAGAGGGAACCAAAGUUAAAAUGAAAUGUGAAUGUGGUUGGAAGACAUUAAUAAAAGAUGGUAAUACUUGGGUCAGAAGUGAAUGGUCUAAAAAAUUGUUAUGUAUUCGUUUAGUUAAGAAUCCAGAUUUAUUAAAUAAAAAAUAUAAUAUAUAUCCAAAAAAAAGAAUGAAAUUGGGACAAGUGAAAGAUGAAAAGGGAGUAUGCAAAGAUAAUACUAAUAUUAACAGGUUGAAUCACAUUAUCUCUGAUUGGUUUAAUCAUGUUACUGAUAAUAAUAAUGAAUAUAAAGAUUCAACAGAUAAUGGAAUAAGUAACACGUUUAAUACAGUUAAAAAUAGUAAUGACAAUUCAAAUGAUGUUUCUAUAUCUAAUAAUUAUAGCACAGAUAUUGUCCCGUAUAAUAGUAUUACAUCAAAUAAUCCAAAUAUGUUAAAUAACAACAAUGAGCAGUUGAUUAGUAACAACAAAAAUGAUACAAAUUGUAUAUCAAAGGUAUACAAAUAUAUGCAGAUGAUUCACUUAUUUAAUUUGAAUAAAGAAACAAAUUCUAAUAUAAAAAAAACAAAUAAAAAAAAGAGUAAAAAUAAAAAUGAUAAAGUUACAAAAGGAAGUAUAAAGUGCGUAAAUAAUAGUUAUAUUUCCAAUGACAUAGAUAGUAAUAAAUUGAACUCGCAUAAUUUUACAACUAAUAAACUAAGUAACAUGGAAAUCUUAUGUGAACAACCGUAUCCAAAUGGAUAUGAACCAGGACAGUACAACAAUCACUAUUACUAUCAUUACACACCAGAAUACAAUAAUCAUAAUAAUUACCAUUACACACAUAAAUACAAAAACGACUGUGACUAUCAUUAUACAUCAGAGUAUGACCACCAAUAUAACCAUCAAUAUGAUAACCAAUAUUAUAACCAAUACGAUAAUCAACACGAUAAUCAACGCGAUAAUCAACGCGAUAAUCAACGCGAUAAUCAACGCGAUAAUCAAUAUAAUAAUCAAUAUGAUAACAAAUAUGACAACCAAUAUGACAACCAAUAUGACAACCAAUAUGACAACCAAUAUGACAACCAAUAUGACAACCAAUAUGACAACCAAUAUGAUAACCAAUAUGAUAACCAAUAUGAUAACCAAUGUGACAACCAAUGUGACAACCAAUAUGAUAACCAAUAUGAUAACCAAUAUGACAAUCAAUAUGACAACCAAUACGACAACCAAUACGACAACCAAUACGACAACCAAUACGACAACCAAUAUGACAACCAGCAUAGGCAAAACGAAUCAGAAAAAGAAAAAAAAAAUGUAACAAGCAUAAACACAAUUGAUGACGUGCACUCAAAAAAUGAACAUUCAGAAGUUUCUAUGAAUAAUAAAAAUUUACCAAAAAAAAAGUAUAAAUUAUAUAUAAAUGAAAAUAAAAAAAAAAUAAAAAAAAAAAAAAAAAACACAUUAAACCAAAAUACAAAUGAUUUAUCAGAGGUGGAUAUAUCAUCUAAUAAUAUUACUGAUAUUGUUAAUAGGAAUACAGAUUUAGAUUCUACAUUUACGUAUAAUGAAGAAAUGUUAGAUAUACCAAAACGUAAAACUAAUAAAACGAAUAAGCAUAAACCAUUAUAUGAUAAACAAGAAAAAAAAAAUAGAGGUAAUAUAAUGGAAAAUAUAAAUAAUUAUUAUAAUAAUCUAAAGUUAAUUAAUACAAAAAUAAUUGAAUAUUGUGCAUCAAAUACAACUUCAUCAAACAAGUUUAAUCAUGAAAUGAAUAAUAAUAAUAGUAAUAAUAAUAAUAAUAAAAAUAAUAAUAAUAAUAAUAAUGAUGAUAAUAAUGAUAAUAAUGAUAAUAAUGAUAAUAAUGAUAAUAAUGAUAAGAAUAAGAAGAAUAAGAAGAAUAAGAAUACGGAUUUACUAACAAAUUUUAGUUCUAAUAAACAACAGAUCAAUGAUUCAAAUAAUAAAAGAAGUAUACGUUCAAAUUUAUAUGGUGAAAAUAAAAAAAUCGUGUUAGAUUAUUUUAGUAAAUAUAAUUGUAACAUGAAUAAAAAGAUUUGUCAAUUUUUAAAAACUCUAUAUUCAGAUGAUACUAUUAUUGAUAAGGUAUCAAAUAACAGAAUUAACAACGGUAAUAAUAAUUAUAAUAAAAAUUGUGAGGCGCAAAUGAAUAGUAUAAGUACAAAUGGUACAAAUGGGCUUGAUAUAGUCGACCAAGAUAUAAACAGAAUAAAUAAUAAUAAUACUUAUGUUAACAUAACUUGUGAUAAUAAGCUACAUAAGAACAAGGUACAUAAUAUUGUUAAUACUAGUAGUUUUAGUGGUAGUGGUAAUGGUAGUGGUAAUGGUAAUGGUAAUGGUAAUGGUAGUGGUANNNNNNNNNNUGGUAAUGGUAGUGGUAAUGGUAAUGGUAAUGGUAAUGGUAGUGGUAGUUAUAGUGGUAGUGGUAGUUUUAGUGGUAAUGGUAAUGGUAAUGGUAGUGGUAAUGGUAAUGGUAGUGGUAGUAGUAGUGGUAGUGGUAGUGGUGAUAGUAGUGGUGGUAGUAGUGGUAGUAGUAGUGGUGGUAGUAGUGGUAGUGGUAGUAGUAGUGGUGGUAGUAGUGGUGGUAGUAGUGGUAGUAGCAGUAAUAACAGCAGUAACAGUAGUGGAAACAAUAGUCGUAGUAGUAAUAAUUACAGCAGUAGUAAUAAUAAUAACAGUAGUAAUAAUAAUAGCAGUAGUAAUACUAAUAAAAACAACUUGUGCUCUUAUGAAAAUUAUAUAAACAAAAACAAUCCAAAUGACGUACAUCAAAAUGGGUUUUAUCAAACUACAAUGGAGGGAGGGUUGAUAUUACCGAAUAUAGAAUUUUCAAAUUCAUCUUACAAAAAAAAUACAUUUUAUAAAAAAGAUACAUAUAGUAGGAACAAUUGUUAUGAACACACUAUUGAUAAACUUGAUAAGAAAAGAAGUACAAGUGAUAAAAAAAUAAUUAUUGGUGAUAAUAAUGAGAUUUUUAAUUUAAAUAAAAUAAAAAAGAACAUAACAAAAAAUGAAAAUGUUACUAGCGAUAACAACAUUACUAGCGAUAAUAAAAACAUGGAGGGGCGAUUUAAAUCGAAUGUUGCCGACGAAAAAACGAAUAAUGAAGAUUUAGUUACGAAUGGAAAUGAAAGAAACAAAGAGUUAAAUAAUAAUGUAUUGACAAAGAGUGUCAUAACUAUGAACGACUAUCCAACAAAUACUAUAAAUUAUAACACCGCAAUGUACAACGCAAAUGGAUGCAUAAAUAAUUUAAAAAGUGUAGAUGAUAUGAAGUUAAUAAAUAACUGUAGCAAAAAUGGUAGUUGUAAUAACUAUGACGAAAACAGUAAUGUCGAUGAUUAUAUUCGUGACUAUAAAUAUAACCAAAAUGUUAUAAAUAAUGAAAGUAUUAUAAAUUGUCAAAGUUCGAUAAAUAAUAUGACCAGUUUAAAUCAUAAUAAAUCGUGUUAUAGUAGUAAUGACAAGUAUAAAUGUUUAAUUAAACAUGUUACU